AUGGGAACGCGAAGAACCUUACCUAGACUUGACAUCUUCUGCAUUAAUCGUAAUGGAUGAAAUCCCUUCGGGGACAGAAUGACAGGUGGUGCAUGGUUGUCGUCAGCUCGUGUCGUGAGAUGUUGGGUUAAGUCCCGCAACGAGCGCAACCCCUACUUAUUAGUUGCUAACAUUAAGUUGAGCACUCUAGUGAGACUGCCCGGGUUAACCGGGAGGAAGGUGGGGAGUGACGUCAAAUCAUCAUGCCCCUUAUGUCUAGGGCUACACACGUGCUACAAUGGUGGGAACAAAGAGAUGCAAGACCGCGAGGUGGAGCUAAACUCAAAACCCCAUCCCAGUUCGGAUUGUAGGCUGAAACUCGCCUACAUGAAGCUGGAGUUGCUAGUAAUCGCGAAUCAGAAUGUCGCGGUGAAUACGUUCCCGGGUCUUGUACACACCG
Molecule: ribosomal RNA, 439 nt
Filed under: uncultured bacterium
Lineage: Bacteria
Description: bacterial SSU rRNA
Rfam family: Bacterial small subunit ribosomal RNA
Source: RNAcentral